CCUACGGGAGGCAGCAGCAGGGAAUAUUGCACAAUGGGCGAAAGCCUGAUGCAGCGACGCCGCGUGCGGGAUGAAGGCUUUCGGGUUGUAAACCGCUUUCAGGAGGGACGAAAAUGACGGUACCUCCAGAAGAAGGCCCGGCCAACUACGUGCCAGCAGCCGCGGUAACACGUAGGGGCCGAACGUUGUCCGGAUUUAUUGGGCGUAAAGGGCUCGUAGGCGGUUUGACAAGUCGGUCGUGAAAGCCCGGGGCUCAACCCCGGGACGCCGGUCGAAACUGUCAUGACUAGGGUCCGGUAGAGGUGAGUGGAAUUCUCGGUGUAGCGGUGAAAUGCGCAGAUAUCGAGAGGAACACCAGUAGCGAAGGCGGCUCACUGGGCCGGUACCGACGCUGAGGAGCGAAAGCGUGGGGAGCAAACAGGAUUAGAUACCCUGGUAGUCCACGCCGUAAACGUUGAACACUAGGUGUGGGGGACUUAUCCACGUCUCCUGUGCCGCAGCUAACGCAUUAAGUGUUCCGCCUGGGGAGUACGGCCGCAAGGCUAAAACUCAAAUGAAUUGACGG
Molecule: ribosomal RNA, 565 nt
Filed under: uncultured Actinomycetes bacterium
Lineage: Bacteria; Bacillati; Actinomycetota; Actinomycetes
Description: bacterial SSU rRNA
Rfam family: Bacterial small subunit ribosomal RNA
Source: RNAcentral